RNAcentral lists this ribosomal RNA (253 nucleotides) under uncultured bacterium. RNAcentral's name for it is "partial 16S ribosomal RNA". It matches the Rfam family "Bacterial small subunit ribosomal RNA", at positions 524 to 776 of the family's 1533-position model. The record is from RNAcentral.
UACGGGGGGGGCAAGCGUUGUUCGGAAUUACUGGGCGUAAAGGGCUCGUAGGCGGCCAACUAAGUCAUACGUGAAAUCCCUCGGCUUAACCGGGGAACUGCGUCUGAUACUGGAUGGCUUGAGUUCGGGAGAGGGAUGCGGAAUUCCAGGUGUAGCGGCGAAAUGCGUAGAUAUCUGGAGGAACACCGGUGGCGAAGGCGGCAUCCUGGACCGAUACUGACGCUGAGGAGCGAAAGCCAGGGGAGCAAACGGG